GAAUAUUGGACAAUGGGGGGAACCCUGAUCCAGCCAUCCCGCGUGUGUGAAGAAGGCCUUUUGGUUGUAAAGCACUUUAAGCGCGGGGGAGGAGCUCUAGGUUAAUACACGAUAUGCUUGGAGCUUAUUCCCUGAAUAAGCCCCGGCUCACUCUGUGCCAGCAGCCCCGGUAAUACAGAGGGUGCAAGGGUUAAUCGGAUUUACUGGGCGUAAAGCGCGCGUAGGUGGCCAAUUAAGUCAAAUGUGAAAUCCCCGAGCUUAACUUGGGAAUUGCAUUCGAUACUGGUUGGCUAGAGUAUGGGAGAGGAUGGUAGAAUUCCAGGUGUAGCGGUGAAAUGCGUAGAGAUCUGGAGGAAUACCGAUGGCGAAGGCAGCCAUCUGGCCUAAUACUGACACUGAGGUGCGAAAGCAUGGGGAGCAAACA
Molecule: ribosomal RNA, 424 nt
Filed under: uncultured bacterium
Lineage: Bacteria
Description: partial 16S ribosomal RNA
Rfam family: Bacterial small subunit ribosomal RNA
Source: RNAcentral